RNAcentral lists this long non-coding RNA (782 nucleotides) under Heterocephalus glaber (naked mole-rat). RNAcentral describes it as "lncRNA (ENSHGLG00000039148.1)". Lineage: Eukaryota; Metazoa; Chordata; Mammalia; Rodentia; Bathyergidae. The record is from RNAcentral.
CAAGUUAGAAACAGUAAGAGAUUAAGAAUAACUAAUAACAAAGUAGAGCAACUAUAACAACACUAAUAAAAGCUAUGCAUCUGUGGUCUCUCAAAAUAUUUUACUGUACUGUACUCACCUGUCUUCAUCUUGUGAUGACAUAACAUGCCUUUGUGAUGCCACAACCUGUGAUGAGAGGAAGUGAGGUAAAUGAUGUAGGCACCACUAGCACUGUGACACUGUGUCAACCAGAUAACAAAGACAGCCAGUAAGGGACUAACAGGCAGGAGCAUAUACAGCAUGGAUAUGUCAGACAGAGGGAUGGACUGGGCAGGAUGAAGCAGGAUGGUGCAAGAUAUUAUCAUGCUACUCAGAAAGGUCUGUAUGAACUAAGGCAAGAAAAGGAACAAAGGUUGAGAGGCUUAGAGAAGAGCAAGCUUCCUUUUGAUAUGACUUCUCUAGAAAACCAGAAAGAUGCAUUACUCAGAUUAAUUAGAGUUUUUCAAGAUGGCUGACUGAAAAAUUAAUGUACAGAAAAGCAAUUCUGGGAGAGGGGAGGGAGAGGAGAGGAAGGGAAUCUUAAAAAAAUCAGAUGUAUUAUGUGCAUGCACCACUCCCCACAAUAAAUGUAAUCAUAUACUGCAGACAUUUGCUAAUAAAAAUAAAACAUUUUAAAAAUCAACCUUUCUACCAGCAACAAAUGAUGAGAAAAGGAAAUUUGUAAAAAGGUUUGCUUCAAUCAAGCAUAAAAAUCAAAUACCGAUGAAUAAAUAUAAAAGAUGGCCAAGAUCUCUACACAGAAC